GUACACUCCUGCGGGAGGCAGCAGUGGGGAAUAUUGCACAAUGGGCGCAAGCCUGAUGCAGCCAUGCCGCGUGUAUGAAGAAGGCCUUCGGGUUGUAAAGUACUUUCAGCGGGGAGGAAGGCGAUAAGGUUAAUAACCUUGUUGAUUGACGUUACCCGCAGAAGAAGCACCGGCUAACUCCGUGCCAGCAGCCGCGGUAAUACGGAGGGUGCAAGCGUUAAUCGGAAUUACUGGGCGUAAAGCGCACGCAGGCGGUCUGUCAAGUCGGAUGUGAAAUCCCCGGGCUCAACCUGGGAACUGCAUUCGAAACUGGCAGGCUAGAGUCUUGUAGAGGGGGGUAGAAUUCCAGGUGUAGCGGUGAAAUGCGUAGAGAUCUGGAGGAAUACCGGUGGCGAAGGCGGCCCCCUGGACAAAGACUGACGCUCAGGUGCGAAAGCGUGGGGAGCAAACAGGAUUAGAUACCCUAGUAGUCCC
Molecule: ribosomal RNA, 474 nt
Filed under: uncultured organism
Description: partial 16S ribosomal RNA
Rfam family: Bacterial small subunit ribosomal RNA
Source: RNAcentral